GUAAAAAAUGUAUCAUUUCCUAUCUGCUUUACAGAUUGAAACCCUUGGCAGCAUGCAAUAUGUGUAUCAUUAUUAGAUGUAAAUAAUACAUUUAAAUACUGUUGUGAAAUUUAGAGGAAUAACAACUUAAAUUUUAAACAUUAGUAUAUAAUGUUUGCUCUCCAGUUACAAAAUAUUAAUGCAAUGCUUUAUAUUAAAGGCUUUAGUUUUUGGAUGGUGCUUCUAUUUUCUGUCACAGAAUAUGGUAAGUUCUUUUUUGUGAUGCUGCUUCAUAACUUCAGUUUAAUUUAUAGUGCAUACUAUAAAGUGGAUUAAGCAUAAGUGAAUUAAUGUGAUUUUUCUUUUCAUAAUGAAUUCAGUCGGUACUGAAGAGAAAAAAAUUGCACAUGGUCAACUGAGAUCCGUGGUAUUUCUACAUCCAUCAACACCCAAAAAUUUGUCAGAGGCAACAUGGAAAAAAGAAAACAUACUGGUGGGGAAAUUUAAAAAUGGCAUCUCUCACCCUUCAUAUAAAUAUAAAAACAGGGCUGAGAUUUUCAGAAAUGGAACCCUCAAACUCAACUGCAUCGUAAAAGAAGAUUUUGGAGUUUAUUUCCUGGAGCUAUAUGACAAAACUGGAAAGAAUAUUUUCAAGGAUAAUAUCACACUGAAAAUAGGCCUUCAGACUUUUAUAAACAUAUCCUGUCCAAUCAGUGGGAAUGAUGAUGAAAAUACCACAAAGAGAGCUCGCGGUUUACUUUUCAUCUGGGUGGGAAUCCAUGUUACAGUUGUCAUAUUAUCAUACAUUAUUUUAAACCUGCGGAAGAAAUUGGGAAAAAAGAGAAAAGAAGGAAACAGAGAACUCCAUUUUCACUUGAACCAACCAAGAGAGGCUGAGGGUCAUGCACAUAGGCUGGAAGAUGCAGAAAAGAACAUCUAUGUUGAAAUGCAUGUGCCGAAAAAUGUGAUUAAAGACGACAAA
Molecule: long non-coding RNA, 961 nt
Filed under: Lepisosteus oculatus (spotted gar)
Lineage: Eukaryota; Metazoa; Chordata; Actinopteri; Semionotiformes; Lepisosteidae
Description: lncRNA (ENSLOCG00000021325.1)
Source: RNAcentral